CCUACGGGAGGCAGCAGUAAGGAAUAUUGGUCAAUGGGCGGAAGCCUGAACCAGCCAUGCCGCGUGCAGGAAGACGGCCUAUGGGUUGUAAACUGCUUUUGCAGGGGAAUAUGUACUCUGAGAAUAAGGAUCGGCUAACUCCGUGCCAGCAGCCGCGGUAAUACGGAGGAUCCAAGCGUUAUCCGGAUUUAUUGGGUUUAAAGGGUGCGUAGGUGGCUUAUUAAGUCAGGGGUGAAAGACGGUAGCUUAACUAUCGCAGUGCCUUUGAUACUGAUGAGCUUGAAUGAACUAGAGGUAGGCGGAAUGUGACAAGUAGCGGUGAAAUGCAUAGAUAUGUCACAGAACACCAAUUGCGAAGGCAGCUUACUAUGUUUAUUGACACUGAGGCACGAAAGCGUGGGGAUCAAACAGGAUUAGAUACCCUUGUAGUC
RNAcentral lists this ribosomal RNA (431 nucleotides) under uncultured bacterium. RNAcentral's name for it is "partial 16S ribosomal RNA". It matches the Rfam family "Bacterial small subunit ribosomal RNA", at positions 338 to 795 of the family's 1533-position model. The record is from RNAcentral.